Molecule: ribosomal RNA, 460 nt
Filed under: uncultured bacterium
Lineage: Bacteria
Description: partial 16S ribosomal RNA
Rfam family: Bacterial small subunit ribosomal RNA
Source: RNAcentral
CCUACGGGUGGCAGCAGUGAGGAAUAUUGGUCAAUGGACGAGAGUCUGAACCAGCCAAGUAGCGUGAAGGAUGACUGCCCUAUGGGUUGUAAACUUCUUUUAUAUGGGAAUAAAACGUUCCACGUGUGGGAUUUUGUAUGUACCAUAUGAAUAAGGAUCGGCUAACUCCGUGCCAGCAGCCGCGGUAAUACGGAGGAUCCGAGCGUUAUCCGGAUUUAUUGGGUUUAAAGGGAGCGUAGGUGGAUUGUUAAGUCAGUUGUGAAAGUUUGCGGCUCAACCGUAAAAUUGCAGUUGAAACUGGCAGUCUUGAGUACAGUAGAGGUGGGCGGAAUUCGUGGUGUAGCGGUGAAAUGCUUAGAUAUCACGAAGAACUCCGAUUGCGAAGGCAGUUCACUGGUCUGCAACUGACACUGAGGCUCGAAAGUGUGGGUAUCAAACAGGAUUAGAUACCCUUGUAGUC